Non-coding RNA from Hordeum vulgare subsp. vulgare (domesticated barley), 125 nucleotides. NCBI's taxonomy places the organism in Eukaryota, Viridiplantae, Streptophyta, Magnoliopsida, Poales, Poaceae. The record is from Rfam.
AAACUACUCCCUCCGUCUCAAAAAUCUUAUCUUAGAUUUGUCUACAAAUGGAUGUAUCUAAAUAUCAAAACAUGACUAGAUACAUUUAUACUAAGACAAAAAUUUUGGGACGGAGAGAGUAUAUG